Molecule: ribosomal RNA, 484 nt
Filed under: uncultured bacterium
Lineage: Bacteria
Description: partial 16S ribosomal RNA
Rfam family: Bacterial small subunit ribosomal RNA
Source: RNAcentral
AUUGAACGCUGGCGGCAUGCUUUACACAUGCAAGUCGAACGGCAGCGCGGGCUUCGGCCUGGCGGCGAGUGGCGAACGGGUGAGUAAUACAUCGGAACGUGCCCAGUAGUGGGGGAUAGCUCGGCGAAAGCCGGAUUAAUACCGCAUACGACCUGAGGGUGAAAGCGGGGGAUCUUCGGACCUCGCGCUAUUGGAGCGGCCGAUGGCAGAUUAGCUAGUUGGUGGGGUAAAGGCCUACCAAGGCGACGAUCUGUAGCUGGUCUGAGAGGACGACCAGCCACACUGGGACUGAGACACGGCCCAGACUCCUACGGGAGGCAGCAGUGGGGAAUUUUGGACAAUGGGCGAAAGCCUGAUCCAGCAAUGCCGCGUGUGUGAUGAAGGCCUUCGGGUUGUGAAGCACUUUUGGCGGGAACGAAAAGGACUGUGCCAAUACCACGGUUCGAUGACGGUACCCGCAGAAUAAGCACCGGCUAACUACGUG